UGUUGACUUGCAAACAGAAAAAUCGGAUUUAAUCGAUAAUGUUGGAGCCAUACCCUUCCUGGAUUACAAGCACUUUGCCUCAAAAAUCUUCUUUCCUGAGGCUGGUCCUCUGGCAGCAGUCAUGAUCAGAGACAUUGGGCAGGACUCUGAGCAGACAACUUUAGAUGAGAAAUGUCAGGCCUUUGCUGCGCUAAUCAGAGAUAAGCAGUUUCUCAGUUGUUUCGUGCAUGCAUUACAGGAACAGAAAAACUUCAGCAUAAAAGACAAGUGAGUCAAAGACAUUUAAAUGUAUGCAUGUAGCAGACACUUUUGUCCAAAGCGAGUUACAAAAGAGGAGGAAGACGCUUUGAACAUAUUCUCACCUCUGUUUGAAGAUGACUUGUUAAACCUGGUCACAGGCCCUUAUGGUUAUUUUCAGACCUUGGCUUGAUGCCUGUUGCUUAGAAGUGUAAACAGAUCAUGUUUUGUGCUUCCUCUUUGAGGGGGCUCAAAAGUGUCUACCCUUAAAAUGACCACCACACUGAAACACAGAUAUAUGUGUUUG
This is a long non-coding RNA of Sinocyclocheilus rhinocerous, 544 nucleotides long. RefSeq lists it as uncharacterized. The transcript is spliced from 3 exons. NCBI's taxonomy places the organism in Eukaryota, Metazoa, Chordata, Actinopteri, Cypriniformes, Cyprinidae. The record is from RefSeq and is a predicted model, not a curated record.